Molecule: ribosomal RNA, 495 nt
Filed under: uncultured bacterium
Lineage: Bacteria
Description: partial 16S ribosomal RNA
Rfam family: Bacterial small subunit ribosomal RNA
Source: RNAcentral
GACGAACGCUGGCGGCGUGCCUAAUACAUGCAAGUCGAACGCUGAAGGAGGAGCUUGCUUCUCUGGAUGAGUUGCGAACGGGUGAGUAACGCGUAGGUAACCUGCCUGGUAGCGGGGGAUAACUAUUGGAAACGAUAGCUAAUACCGCAUAAGAGUAGAUGUCGCAUGACAUUUGCUUAAAAGGUGCAAUUGCAUCACUACCAGAUGGACCUGCGUUGUAUUAGCUAGUUGGUGAGGUAACGGCUCACCAAGGCAACGAUACAUAGCCGACCUGAGAGGGUGAUCGGCCACACUGGGACUGAGACACGGCCCAGACUCCUACGGGAGGCAGCAGUAGGGAAUCUUCGGCAAUGGACGGAAGUCUGACCGAGCAACGCCGCGUGAGUGAAGAAGGGUUUCGGAUCGUAAAGCUCCGUUGUAAGAGAAGAACGAGUGUGAGAGUGGAAAGUUCACACUGUGACGGUAUCUGACCAGAAAGGGACGGCUAACUACGUG